Molecule: long non-coding RNA, 11738 nt
Filed under: Homo sapiens (human)
Lineage: Eukaryota; Metazoa; Chordata; Mammalia; Primates; Hominidae
Description: non-protein coding lnc-ITPR2-2:9
Source: RNAcentral
AUCUCACUCUGAGUACUGUGUGUUUCAUCUGCCUUCACUCUCACAAUUAUUAUCAACUUGCUGGCUAUAAAAGGCAGGGGCUACAAACUCAGUGAGCCAAAUGCAGUGCUUGCUUCCUAUCUGUGGUCCAUUGCAUAGCAGUGUGCUUGGGUGCUGCGUAAGACAAUUCCCCCCAACGCCUCCAAAAAAUAGGACAUGGUCCACUGCAGGAGUUCAUAAUCUAGGAGUCCAGAGAGUCCAGGCUCAUCAUCCCUUCAGAAGAAAGAAUCUUCAGGCCUCUGCUCUUGUGAGAGUAAUUUCUCUUAACACCGACAGUGCAGCAAUACAACUACCACCACCUUUCAAUUAUUGAGAGGCAAUCAUCUAAAGCAUUUGGCAAGUGAUCCACUUACGGAGCCAAGCUAAGGGAGCUGAAGAGAAGAGGCCGCCGCCCCAACCCAGCUACUCCAUGUGCUACUUUCUCUCGCAACUUUGAGCAAGAAUGUUAGAUCUUUUGCUGGGGGCCUUCGGAAGCCGUGAGGGAGCAUAUCCUGACACCCACAUAGAAGACCUGGUACCUAUGUUUCCACAUCACAAAGCAGGCCAACAAGCACACAAGGCCGCAGACCAAAUUAAGAAUCAUCUGGAUGAGUAAGAACAGUUUGAAAGUGCCAGUGACGCUGGUACAGUCCGUCACAUCCCGGUAAACAAAGGUCCUGCUGAGCGGCUCCGAGGAGGGCAGUUUGCACUGGCAAGAGUCGAGUGUGGUCUCACAGGUAAACUGUGUGAGCUGCGAAUAGUGGUGGGCGGCAAAGGCCACGGCCAGCACACAGACCGUCAGGCCCAGGGCACUCAGCAGAAAGUAUAACAGCUGCAAGAAAGCAGAAGAAAACCUUUCUGGUUACAAAGAACAUUGGAUGAUGAUUUGCAAAGCGAAUUCAUCAAAACUGUUCUUUUUCUUCCCUCCCAGAAAUUUUCUGAUGGAAAGGCUGUCUCUUCUUAGAAACACAACACCCAAGACAUGGAAAUAGCUCCAUGUUUAUUUAUUAGUGGGUAGUUCUUAAACCCUGAUCACAUUUUCACUUGCCAUCCAGAUGUUGGGCCCUUUUCAAGAGUUGUGACAACCAUAUUAGCUGGACUGUGGAAUGUUUUUGUCUAGAUAUUGCCAGCAGUUUAGAUGAAUCCCAAACAAGCUAGCCAUCCCUGGAUGACAUGUUGUGCUUAUUUUGAACUCAAGAACUUCUGAUAUUAAGACUGAAACAAGACUAGGAAGUAAAGAACAGGUUUUUGUAAUGCAAACACUGUGUGGGCCAAAAUUAGCAAUGAUGGGUCAACUAAUAGCAUAAGUUAAUUUUUUUAAAAGACUACAUUCAAUGUAGUGAUUGCCAAACUGUAUCCAUAAACAUGAGAAUCCCCAGUAGGAGGUUGCUGGGAGAAAAUAAAUUAUGGCUCCAGAAGUCAAGUGACUCAACGUCAGCUUCAUCGCCUGUGAAACUUACCCCAAGCCCAACAACGACCAUGUGAUUCCUGAGCCUGAAAAAACUCUAAAUGGUUCCUCAGUCACCAAGGUUUUGAACACUGUUGGCCUCCAGAUUAGCUUUGGGAUUGAAAAAGUCUGGUUAAAGUUCUCGCUCUGCUGCUACAGGGCUGUGGGAACUCUGAACAAUUUAGGGAUUUAGCUUACACCUAAAAUAUUCUGAGCAAAACUUGUGGGUGUUCACUGACAUGGCCACAAUAAAAUCUAUGGAACAAGAAAUAUUUUUGUGAUUGAACUCACCUACUAGAAAUGUUAAUCUUAAUGGUCCACCUGCUGAGACUCUAGAGCUGCUUGACAGGGUUGUCUGGGGAAUACAACCUUACCCUGUCAAAUGCCUUUCAAUGUUUUUCUUCUCCUUCCUUACCCCCGUUUCAUCGUGUACCUGCAAUGGGACUCUAUUUCUGAUAUUAGAAAACCACCCAAUGGAACUGAUAAAAAUGAGUUGGAACUUGUGACCAGCAGCUGGAUGAGAGGAGUGUGAAUCCCCCAAAUCUUAUGGAUAUAGUGUGCUUUCUUUGAUGUUCCUGCCAAAGUGAGGCUGGAAAGCUAGGAAGAUCUGUAAGACGUGUGCCAGCACAAAGUGACUACAAUUCAAAAGUUCCAAAAACCUUGCUUGAAACAAUUGCAAAUAGCUCAUCAUUUUAAACCAGUGAACCCAAGGCUGAGUGUUUCAUCAAUUUACAGAAAACCAAGAAGAGAAAUCUGACAGCUAUCCCAGUGUAUGACUUACCAUGGAGAUCUUCAAAUAGAAUCACUUUGGUUUGGGUCUCAUUUUCAUAUUAUAACACAAAUUUGUGUAUGUGGGUUAAGAUUCAUAUUUGAUAGGAACUGCUGGGAAUUCUUGCAGUUAUAUCCUCAAAAGACAAAAUAAGCAUAACCAACAGAAUUGUGAAGCAAUAAAGUUGAUUAUGGAUGAAAACUGGGCUGAACAGUCAUAGGACAUGACUUGUUCCUUUGACCUAAAAUGUGCUUUUCUUUCCUUAUCUACCCAGUGUAAUGGUACUACUCUUUCAACCAUCUUGAAUUCACUCACACUUAUUCGUCAAAUCCUGCUCAGCUAUUCCCACUACCCACAAAGUGUACCUUUUUCGUAUUCCUUACUUUUUAUACAUUAGCUCAUUUUCCCCCAAACAAUGCAAUAAAGUAAAAAAUAUUACUCUAUUUUAUAGAAACUUGCAGCUCAGAAAGGAUAAGAAACUUGCAAGUUGAUCCAAAAUAAAUUUCUAAAAAGCAUCAAAAGGUUUCAUUUCUGCAUAAUAUUAAGGACUAAAUUAUAGGAAAACUCUCUCCCUAUAAAACACUGUAAAAUGCUGGAUAAAACGUAGCAUCCCUUAUAAAAUGAAAAAACAAUUAGCCCACUAGCACUGGAAGUCAUCAAGAAAAUUGUUCUGUCUCAACAGAUGCAGGGGGGCAGUUUGAGGUUUUUCUACUACUUUCCUAGUCCUGGAACCUAUUAAGAUGAGAAAGUAACAUGAAAGUGAUCCUGAAAAAAUAAACCAAAACCUGGCUAUUUCAAUAAAUAAAUUGUAAGGGGGAGAGAGACAGAGACAGAGAGAGAGAGACACAGAGAGAGAGAAUAGAAAGGAGAGACAAAGGGUAAAUUUUUGAGUAAAGGAAAUGUUAGAAAUAUAUGAGUCAACUGCAGUGUAUAGAUCUUAUUGAGAUCCUGAUUUUGACAAAUCUAGGAGGAACUAUUAAUGAGUUAAUCAUGGAUAUUUAAACAGUGGUUUGAUUCUAUUAAGAAAUUAACUUGUUAGGUGUAUUAUUAGUAUAUUGAUUAUUUUUUAGUCUUCAUCUUUCGACUUACAUAGCAAAAUAUUUAUAAAUAAAAUGAUAUAAAGUCUGGGAUUUAGUGCAAAAUAAUCCACUGUGUAGUGUGUGUAGUGUGUGGGUGUGGAGGAAAUAUAGGAGCAUACAGAUAAGACAAGAUUGAGCAUGAGUUGAUAGUUAUCAAGGCUCGGUGAUGAGAAUAUAGAGGUUCAUUAUACAAUUGUAUCUACUCUUGUGUAUGCUUGAAAUUUUUCAUAAUAAGUAAGUUAAGGAAACAAAGUGGUUCUAGGCCUGUAACAUCACUGGGACAUAUGGCAAGACAAACCCAUCUGGAAGGGUUGUACUCUCAAAUAGGCUAUAUCAAGUUAUCAUACAUAAAGCCUCUUGGAAGAUGAACUCACAAACCAAAAUUAGCAAACACUUGAAGAAUUAAUUAUUAGUGAAGGCUAGCUCUUACAUGCAUGUACACACACACACACACACACACACACACACACACACACACACACGCUCUAAGAAUCAGAGCUAUAAGAAUUCCAAAUAAUGGAAGUAAUGAGCAGAGCCUAUAAAAAGUACAUUCAAAACAAACACAUGAAGGAAGGAACUGAAAACAUAAAGAACAGGACAGUUUUUAAAGCACCAGGGAUAUGUGAAAAUAACAUCAGUAACAACAUCAGUGAGUUCUAGAAUGAAAAAUUAAAAUUGCUGGCAGUAAAAACUCAAAGGACAAGUAAAAGGCAGAUUAAACCUAAAUGAAGAAGGGAAAAGUGAACCAGAAAAUCUGAGAAAAUAACCCAAGAUACAGCACAGAGAGAUAAAGAGAGAUGAAACAUACUAGACAGGAUAAGAAAUAUGGAGGGAGAAUAAGAAGAUUCUAAAUAUACAUCUGACAGCAAUUCCAGGCAAAGGGAACAAACUUAAUUUUAAAAUUGAGUAUAGAACCCUAAACCCCAAAAUGAGAGAAUCCACAUUUUUCCCAAGCAUUCAAGAACUGUUUAUGAAGAUUGGUCACAAAAUAAGUCUAAUCAAAUAUCAAAUAAUUGAUAUGAAAAACACAUGAACUGAGCACAAAGCAACUAAAGUGAACUCAAUAAUCAAAAGACCAGAUAAAAGACAUUAGAGAAGACUCAAAUAAAUGGUGAGAUCAUCUUUGGUCAUGUAUAGAAAGUACAAAUCCCAGGAAAUUACCAAAAGUAUUUUUCUUGGAACUUGAAAAGCCUAUUCUAAAGUGUAUAUGCAAGAGAAAAUGGCUAAGAUUCACUGAGAAAAUUUUGAAGAAGAAUAAAAUGAAGGAGGGUGGGUUGGGGGUGGGCUGCUUAUCCAUCAUCUUUAUAACAAGAUGCAUUAUAGCAUCAUUUUAAUUUAGACAAUGGUAUUGGCAUAGUGAUAGCCAAAUAAAACAAUAGAACUAAGGAAAAUCACAAAGCAAAUCUAAUAUGGAAACUUGACAGAUGAUAAAUGGGUGUAACAGAUCACUAUGAAAGGGACCGAUUAUUUAUUAAACGGUGCUAAAACAAUUAUCAAUCCAUGUGAGAAAAAAUGUAUGGACCCUUCACAUCAUUGCAAAAAGAAACCACUUAUAAUAAAGAUAUGAAUACCCAAAAGCAAACCUUUAACAUUUUUAGAAAAUGGUAUAGAAAAAUAUUUUUAUGGCCUUGGAGUAGGGAAAAAUUUCUUUAAACUACAUCAAAUCCAUAAAAAAAAGAACUGAUAAAUAUAAAUAUAUGAAGAUUAAAUCUUUUUUCAUAACAAAACACCAUAAAUAAAAGAUAUGAUACCAACCAGAAAAAGAUAUUUGUAGUACCUAAAACCAUAAAGAUUAAGUAACAAAAGUAACAAAUCCUAUAAAUAAAUAAGAAACGAACAACCCAUAGAAAAUAUUUUUUGAAUAAAUAAAUGAUAGAACACAAAAUAAAAUGGCCAAUCAACAUAAAAUAUGUUCAAUUCCAGUAGCAACACCAAAAUGCAAAUUAAAACAAGAUACCAUUGCACACAAAUAAGAUAGGUAAAGAACUCUGAUUUACCACUGGUGGAGGUGAGGUGUAAGUUAGUCCAAUUUGGAUUUGUGGUAGUGACUUGGCAAUAGCUAGUAAUUUGACGAUGUCUAUAUCUUAUGACCCAACAAUUUGACUUCUAGGAAUAUGCCUUAACAAGACUUUAUGUGCACAGGGAGUUAUAGACAAGAAUAUCCACUGUAACACCGUAAAUGCAAAAUAAAAAAUCAUUUUUGAAAACAAAUUUUCUUCAACAAGAGAAUGAAUUAACUGUUAUAUAUCCCCCCCCCCCACCACCACCACUUUCUUUUGAGACAGGGUCUUGCUCUGUUGCCCAGGCUGAAGUGCGGUGGUGCGAUCAUGGCUCACCACUGUCUCAACCUCCCAGGUUCAAAUGAUCCUCCCACCUCAGCCUCCUGAGUAGCUGGAACAACAGGCAUCUGCCACCACACCCAGCUAAUUUCUCUACAAAAAGUAUUUUUUGUAGAGACGGGGUUUUGCCAUGUUGCCCAGGCUUGAACUCCUAGGCUCAAGCAAUCCUCCCGCCUUGGCCUCCCAAAGUGCUGGGAUUACAGGUGUGAGCCACUGUACCUGGCCAAUGUUGUAUAUUCCUAACAGUGAAAUUCAGUAUAGCAAACAUGAAUGAAUGAUAUCUGUGUACUAUUAUAAAUAAAUCUCAAAAACGAUGUUGAGCAGAAAUGAUAUGAUACCAUCUGUAUAAAAAUUAAAAUAUGACAUGUUGGUUAUGGAUAUAUACAAAUUUUCAAAGUAUGAAAACAGGCUUAUGCAUAAAAAAUACCAAAUUCAGGAUAGUACAUAUCUCUGGGGAAGAUGGGAGGGGUAGGGGAAUUUGAUUAAGAAAUGAAACAUGGGAGACUUCAAUACAAUGUAAUGUUUCCUUUCUUAAAAAAUAAUAAAAAAGCAAUUAUUACAAAAUACUAAAAUUUAGCAAAGCUAGGAAUGGAUAAGUGGGCAUUUUUUUCUAUGUUAUUAUGCAUUAUUUUCUAUGUUAUUAUGCAAUUGAAAUGUUUAUAAUUUUAAAAAGCAUAGAAUUGCACAGAAUUACUGACAUUUGUUCAAAUUCACAUAGAAAUGAAAAUUUAAAAAUCAUUACCAAAUAUUUUUUGGAAAAUGAUUCUACAUUAGUAGAGCCAGAAUUCUACCCUUACUCCAAAGCUGGAGUCAUUCCUCAAAUUUCAGACCCCCUCUCCUUUCUUUUUCUGAUCUUACCCUGAGGGUUCAUCAUGUUCUUCUCUGCGCUAGCACGGUACAUUGUUUAAGGCACCACCUUGGCAUUUUGUUUUUAAAACUAAAUUGCAGUUAGUUGUACCUGUGUUUCCUCACCCAGAGACUAAGCUCUUGGGGGCACCAUACCUGGUAUAUGAAAAUACAGAGGGAGAGUGGCUAGGGUGUGGCUUCUACUCCUAACUAACUCUUGUGAUGACUUACCAAAAACUAAUCACCAAGUUCUAUAAAUACUUAUUCUUGCAAAAUAAUCAAUUUCCAAAGAAUGUAAGAGAAUCAAAGAUUGUGUUCCAGCCUUUCUCAUGAAUCAACAGGAGGGGCAGAAUUGUUACAAACAGUAUUUGUGGGAAGAAAUAAACAACCUAUAGUUUAUUUGUUUCACUUGGGGAUUUUCAAGCCCUCAGAAGAGGGAAAGGAAUCUUGCUGAUGUGGAUUGAGCCUACUCCGGUGGUAUAGUCAUGGGCUGGAUUUCAUUACUUAGCCAUAAUUAAGUCAGUUCUCAAAUUAGGUCCCAUUCUAGAAAUGACUGCAGAGAUAAUUCUAUAUUAAACUCCUGGGUUCAUAUAUGUUGAAUAGUACAAUAAAUAUAAACAUAUUAAAUAGCACAGUGCAUAGAAAUUAUACAGUAAAUCAAUAUAAAUUGAAUUAUGUAACAUUGGAAUGGGAUUGUAAAUGAGAGAACCAUCUUGUUCAACCUUUAAAAAUAUUAUCAAGUGGCUUUUCUAAUUGAGAGUACUUUAUGAAAAACAGUAUGAGGGAACAUAAAGUAAUAUAUAUUAUAAUAUUACUUCUCCUUUGAAAGUGUUUUGUCCUUUUCAACAUGAGGAGGUCAGUGUCCCCAAGCAGCCUGCAGCCUCUCCUACAUUUCCCCCUCGCCUCCCAUGGCAACACGGGUUAGCCAGACACUGAGCUUUUUGUGAUGUGUGUGUGAGGACAGAGAGAAGGGGAGCAAAGCUUCAGGGAGGUCUUGAGGUGGAAAAAUUUGUGACGCACACGAUUUGGUGACUGAAGAAGAAUUCUUUCUUGAGGGUUCUAUAACACAAUAGUUACGGUCACCCUAUGUGCAUUUAAAAAUUCCUAGUUGGUCUCAAGCCCUUAAUGCACACCGAAGCCCUUUAAGAGGCUUCUCAAACUACUUGUUCAUGGAAAGAUUAUGAGACAAAGCCAACCUGUGUGGGUUUGGUCCUUCUGUUUCAGAACCUGACUACCAAAGAGCCUGGGAGAAGUACAUAAACUUAUUGAACAUGUAACUCAUAAACUAAAAGAUUCAAACUCUGUACACAGAAUUCUGUAUGCGGUCAUGAAGAAAUCCCUUCUCAUUUAUGAUCAUACAUUUGCCUUAGGGAGUCCGAGUUUGCCCUCUUCACUGCCUUGGGUGCCCCACUAUCUUCCUGAGGUAGGCACAGUCCUCCUGCAAGUUUCUCCCUGAGAGAAGAGCACCUCCAACCUCCAACAGAAUUGAUGAGGACUGAAAUGCUGUUGCCCUUGUCUUAGAAAAUGCCUCCUUCAUAGCUUUCCUGGCAUAGCUAAAUGUGAGAUAGGGCUAAGCCUGUGAGAUCAGGCUAAUGGCCUGAUAUGCAUGCCACACCUGAUACUUUAGAAGGAAGCCAGCCAAGGAAGUGUUUUUUCCCCCACUUAGUAAUAAAGCUAAAAUUCUCUCGCUCGUCAAAGUCUAGUUAACACAUUAGCAGCCCCCUCCCCCUUUUCUGGUCUCCUGUCAUUAUCUUCCAUACAAGAGAGAGGGCUUGAUAAUAACAUAUCUUAAAGGGGUUUUUAAUUGCUCCUUACAGUGAAUGCUGAAUCUAACGCUUUAAAAACAACUGAGUAGAAUGCCACUUAAAAGCGCUUCCUCCAGGUUUCUCACCACCUCUCUCAGUACCACGGCACUCCCAGCCAGGGGAGAGUUGCUCAUUUCUGCAAAGAUUAGAAGCAGGUCCAACAGAACUUCUUCAGCAGAAUCUGAGAAUGCUCAUUUGUGAACAAACUGUCUGCUUUCCAACGUCCCGUCACUUACUGGACUUUUGCCAGCCCCAGGAAACACCAUAAUGAAACACUCACAUUUAUGAAAUUCACAAUUAGGGACCGUGGCUCUAGCAACAUUAGCUCAGAGAGCAUCAACUUUAAAUAUGCUCAAAAAUCAAACUGGAGAGCUUACAGUAUCCCAUCGUGGCCAUCCCUUUUCGUUUUGGAACUGAGAUUGGACCAAUUGUUAUGAAAGGCUGCAUGUUUUAGUCUUCCCUGGUCUUUCCCUCUUGGGUGGCUUGGGUUUGUGCAAUACAGUACUUAGUGAAGGAAAAGCAGAGCCCAGCUCAGGACUUCUUAAGUGAGGGAACAGAAUCCAAUGAGAAGCCCUUAAAUGUGUGUCAAAAUGAAGAUCUACCAAAGAGUGAAGGCACCUACUAAAGGCUAUUACCUCAUAAGGCUCAAAGGGCGGGUGGGGGGUGCCCACAGUAUGCAAUCACCACCCCCCACAGGACAGCAGGCUUGGUCAAUGGCUGAACAUAUAAGCAUUCCCCAAUGGUACCACUCAGCCAGCCACCUUUGCAUCAGAAGCCAAAGUAUCCUUGAGCUACAUCUUGACAUCAGGAUACUCCCUGGAGCAUAAAGAAAUGCAGGAAUUUACAGCGUGGAGGUUCCUAAGCCUUAAAGAGUUAAUGCAGCAAAGGAAAUGCCUAAGUUAACCUUAGAAUUGUAUUCACUAGCUAGAUUUACUUGAUUUUAUUUUUACAGAAAUUUGACAAAAGAAGCAAUCUGUAAAUGCAAUGAAAACAGCUUCCUCCAUAUGUCUCACUACUGGCAUGAGCACGGAGCCGCGCCACCCCAUCGUACCUCCGUGUGUCAGAUUACGGGCUCAGAAUACCCCUCGGAAACACUCAGACUUCUAGCUGUUCCAAGAAAGCCGUAGGGCUUUCAAUAAUAAGCUGUAAAACGAGCUUAAGAGUCACUGAGGUUGCUGUGCAAAUGUAUAACCCUCACCGGAAAUGCUAUGGACUGAAUUGUGUCCCCGUAAGUCAUAUGUUGAAGCUGUAACCUCAAAAGUAACUAUAUUUGGAGAUAGGGCUUUUAGGAGGUAAUUAAGGUUAAAUAAGAUCCUAAGCAUGGGGUCCUAAUCCAACAGGACUGGAGGAUUCAUGAGAAGAGGAAGAGAAAGAGAUCUCUUCUUCUCUUCACAUGCAUGAACUGAGAAAAGACCAUGUGAGCACACAGCAAGAAGGCAGCCGCCUGCAAGCCAGGAAGAGAACCCUCCCUAGCCCCUGACCAUGUUGACACCCUGAUCUUGGACUUCCCGUCUCCAGAACUGUGAGAAAAUGAAUGUUUGCUGUUUAAGUCACCCAGUCUACGGUAUUUUGUUAUAGCAGCCUGAGCCGACUAAGACAGAAAGAAAAAUGUAUUUUAGUUAAUGCCAUAUGUGUAGGUGUACACAUAUGAAUUUUAAAAUUAACCAGGGUGAUGGAGUGAGCUGCUUCACUCAGGCAUCUGACAGUUACUCUUGCCAAGUUUUAUCUCAAUACACAGAGAUCUGAGACUGCAUCCAAAGCAUCUGAAAGAGGGUGUGCCUAUGGAAUAGGUUUUUAUAUAGCUUAUGCUGUAAAGCCUGUUCCUAGCAUCUAUUUUUUUAAAAGAAGUUCACUGUAAGCUUAUGAACUCAUCGUGAUAAACCUAGACUUGAACAUUUACAGCAAAUAAUAACUGGAAGGUUAAACUAUGACAUCAUGAGGUCCCAUCCAGCUCUGGAUUUUGAUGGACAUUUUUUGACCAGUACUUCCUUAGUUUGCCAGGAUGGAAGACCUAAAAAUGAACUGCAUUUUGCAGUGAAUUAUACCUAAUUAAAGUUUAAUGACUAGAUUACAUUCCUGUCUGAUAUGGUUUGAUUCUGUGUCCCCACCCAAAUCUCUCUUGAAUUGUAAUCCCCAUGUGUUGAGGGGGAAACCUGGUGGAAGGUGGUUUGAUCAUGGGGGUGGUUCCCCCUAUGCUCUUCUCAUGAGAAGAUGAGAUAGUGAGUUCUCAUGAGAUCUGAUGGCUUAUAAGUGGCAGUUUCCCCAGUGCUCUCUCUCCUGCAGCCCUGUAAGAUAUGAUUUGCUUCUCCUUUGCCUUCUGCCAUGAUUGUAAGUUUCCUGAGGCCUCCUCAGCCAUGUGGAAUUGUCAGUCAAUUAAACCUCCUUUCUUUAUAAAUUAGUCUCACGUAGUAUCUUUAUAGCAGCGUGAGAACAGACUAAUACACUAUCCUACAGUAACAUAGAAACAUAUAUGCUGAACUCUUCAACAUAACCUUAUGUGUUUCCUUUUAAUGUUAUCAUUAACCCUUCAGGCCACAAUACAACCAAGUGGAUCCAGUGAAAGACCAUCCUUAAUAGAAAUGUCUCAGAUACAGCUAAAGGCAAGAGCAAAUCUAGAAAACACCCAUUUUCUCAGACCACACUGAAAGAGGGCAUCAUAUUGGCAAUCUAUCUAUUCAACUGUUAGACCAAACAUUAGAGAAACCUAUGCCAUUGUUUUCUUCGUAAAAGGUUAAGAGUGGUAAUAUCAACAUCUAGCAUUCAGCCACAUCAAUCCUAAUAUGUCCUAUUCUAGUUAGGAGAGUGCAUAUAAGUCAAAUGACCUUCCUGAGUCCUGCCAUUUUAUAACAUGAAAUAAAAAAUCUAAGUAAUGUUAAGUUAAUAUGUUCUGAAUUCUUCUAGAAUCCAGAAGCCAAAAUGGAGUAAUAACACAUUCCUUACUAUUACCUCAUAGUUGUCUUAAAUGUCAUAAAUAAAUUUGUCUGUGUUUGAAUAUACAACUACAGUCAGCCCUCUGUAUCAAUGGGUUCCAUAUCCAUGAAUAUAAUCAACCACGGAUCAAAAACAUUUGGAUAAAAAAAGGAUGGUUGUGUCUGUACUGAACAUGUACAGACCUUUUCAUGUCAUUAUUCCCUCAAUAAUAUAGUGUGUCAACUGUUUACAUAGUAUUUAUAUUGUAUUAGGUAUUAUAAGUAAUCUAGAAAUGAUUUAAAGCAUAUGUAGGAUGUGCAUAAAUUAUAUGCAAAUACUACACCAUUUUAUAGCAGGGACUUGAGUAUCUGUGAAUUUUGGUAUCAGGAGUCCCAGUACCAAUCCCCUGCAGAUACUAAGGGAUGACUGAAUAUAGCUUAAAAAUGGGCAUAUGCAUGUUCAAACAGAAGCUCUGAUAAUGGCAAGUAUGGAAUAAAUAGAUUUCAGUUCAACAUUUAUUAAUUA